UUUGCUCGUAAUUUAUGCACUCUCAGUC
RNAcentral lists this small RNA (28 nucleotides) under Bombyx mori (domestic silkworm). Its description in RNAcentral is "ovarian small RNA-38405". The record is from RNAcentral. Lineage: Eukaryota; Metazoa; Arthropoda; Insecta; Lepidoptera; Bombycidae.